GAUGAACGCUGGCGGCGUGCCUAAUACAUGCAAGUCGAGCGAACGGACGAGAAGCUUGCUUUUCUGAUGUUAGCGGCGGACGGGUGAGUAACACGUGGAUAACCUACCUAUAAGACUGGGAUAACUUCGGGAAACCGGAGCUAAUACCGGCUAAUAUUUUGAACCGCAUGGUUCAAAAGUGAAAGACGGUCUUGCUGUCACUUAUAGAUGAAUCCGCGCUGCAUUAGCUAGUUGGUAAGGUAACGGCUUACCAAGGCAACGAUGCAUAGCCGACCUGAGAGGGUGAUCGGCCACACUGGAACUGAGACACGGUCCAGACUCCUACGGGAGGCAGCAGUAGGGAAUCUUCCGCAAUGGGCGAAAGCCUGACGGAGCAACGCCGCGUGAGUGAUGAAGGUCUUCGGAUCGUAAAACUCUGUUAUUAGGGAAGAACAUAUGUGUAAGUAAAUGUGCACAUCUUGACGGUACCUAAUCAGAAAGCAACGGCUAACUACGUG
Molecule: ribosomal RNA, 497 nt
Filed under: uncultured bacterium
Lineage: Bacteria
Description: partial 16S ribosomal RNA
Rfam family: Bacterial small subunit ribosomal RNA
Source: RNAcentral